Molecule: transfer RNA, 63 nt
Filed under: Actornithophilus hoplopteri
Lineage: Eukaryota; Metazoa; Arthropoda; Insecta; Psocodea; Menoponidae
Description: tRNA-His
Source: RNAcentral
UAAGUUAUAGUUUAAUAAAAACAUUGAGUUGUGGUAUCAAAGAUGGAGAUAAUCCUAACUUAU